Molecule: ribosomal RNA, 492 nt
Filed under: uncultured bacterium
Lineage: Bacteria
Description: bacterial SSU rRNA
Rfam family: Bacterial small subunit ribosomal RNA
Source: RNAcentral
GGCUCAGGAUGAACGCUAGCGGCAGGCUUAAUACAUGCAAGGUCGUGGGGCAGCGCAGGUAGCAAUACUGGGCGGCGACCGGCAAACGGGUGCGGAACACGUACACAACCUUCCGAGAAGUGGGGAAUAGCCCAGAGAAAUUUGGAUUAAUACCCCGUAACAUAAUGAUGUGGCAUCACAUUAUUAUUAUAGCUACGGCGCUUAUUGAUGGGUGUGCGGCUGAUUAGAUAGUUGGCGGGGUAACGGCCCACCAAGUCUACGAUCAGUAGCUGAUGUGAGAGCAUGAUCAGCCACACGGGCACUGAGACACGGGCCCGACUCCUACGGGAGGCAGCAGUAAGGAAUAUUGGUCAAUGGACGCAAGUCUGAACCAGCCAUGCCGCGUGAAGGAUUAAGGUCCUCUGGAUUGUAAACUUCUUUUAUCUGGGACGAAAAAAGGCGAUUCUUCGUCACUUGACGGUACCAGAUGAAUAAGCACCGGCUAACUCCGUG